AGUGCUCUUAUUUGUUGGAAAUACAAGGGAUACUGUAGUUAUCUGAUCACCAGCUUGAAGAGGACCAAAGAAAUAUUCUGACUCCCUCAUGCCUCUCCAAGAAUCACAGGGGGAUGGAGACAGAGCCAUUGAAUUAAGUAGGUCCUAAAACCUACCUGACCUAUGGAUUUCCAGGUGACAUAAUUACCUACCCUGGUCUUGAAGGAGUGUCCUUUUGUGGGAGCAUUGCUGUGUAGUCAACGUGUGCCCAUUGGCUUUGGUGGAAGAUCUGUAUCUGACAUGAUCAGGGUUCACGUCUUCCAUGAGGCUUCCCUCCUCUCUGGCUGCCACAUAACAUUGAGCGGAGUUCUCCGUGCUAUGCACUAUUUUAAUGCUAGUUUUCAACCUCUCAUCCUCCCACUGCCUCCCUCCGCCACCACCUUGAGAGGCAGACUCCAUGUUUUCAUCAACAGUACUUCAUGUUUUGCUGUCGGGCUACUUCUCUGCAUCCACUGUUUCUUGUGAGACCACACUGAAAACAAACAAAUGAGCACUCUUCACACUUCAAAAGGAGACCCAAAGGGAAGAAGAAUGAAAUUGGGGCCAAAAGGUUAAGAGAGGAAAGAUGCAGUCCCUCUUUUUCUGGACCAAUACAUCGUGGUUUCUGUUUGAGUAAGCAAUUACAGACCUCUGGCUAGCCAAGUCUCUGGUCUUUCGCCCCAGACUUUGAUAAUUUGGUCCUCAGUGUAGCUGUCUUUGAAUUUUUCAUGCAUUUUUUUCCUUGGUGUACUGAGUCAAAAUGUCUCAGAUAAAAACUUCCCAUUCUCUAUAAUAAAUUCCCAAUUUCGAUCUGCUGCAGUAACCAUGCUAAGGUGUUUCUCUAUUUCUCUGUCUCCCUCACACACACACUGUUCUGCAGUCUCAGAGGAAAUGCAAGGUGAAUUUAAUAUGAGAAAUCAUAUAUCAGACUAUAGACCUUAUGGUUUGUAAAUAUCCACACAGGAGUACACAAGUAUUUAUUAAUAAAUAUCCUUUUGUCUU
Molecule: long non-coding RNA, 1020 nt
Organism: Bubalus bubalis (water buffalo)
Lineage: Eukaryota; Metazoa; Chordata; Mammalia; Artiodactyla; Bovidae
Exons: 4
Source: RefSeq, a predicted model, not a curated record